Molecule: ribosomal RNA, 81 nt
Filed under: Chordata environmental sample
Lineage: Eukaryota; Metazoa; Chordata
Description: partial 12S ribosomal RNA
Source: RNAcentral
GCUUAGCCCUAAACACAGAUAAUUACAUAAACAAAUUAUUUGCCAGAGUACUACCAGCAACAGCUUAAAACUACAAAGGAC